UGGGGAAUUUUGGACAAUGGGCGAAAGCCUGAUCCAGCAAUGCCGCGUGUGUGAAGAAGGCCUUCGGGUUGUAAAGCACUUUUGUCCGGAAAGAAAUCCUUGGCUCUAAUACAGUCGGGGGAUGACGGUACCGGAAGAAUAAGCACCGGCUAACUACGUGCCAGCAGCCGCGGUAAUACGUAGGGUGCAAGCGUUAAUCGGAAUUACUGGGCGUAAAGCGUGCGCAGGCGGUUUGCUAAGACCGAUGUGAAAUCCCCGGGCUCAACCUGGGAACUGCAUUGGUGACUGGCAGGCUAGAGUAUGGCAGAGGGGGGUAGAAUUCCACGUGUAGCAGUGAAAUGCGUAGAGAUGUGGAGGAAUACCGAUGGCGAGGGCAGCCCCCUGGGCCAAUACUGACGCUCAUGCACGAAAGCGUGGGGAGCAAACAGGAUUAGAUACCCUGGUAGUCCACGCCCUAAAACGAUGUCAACUAGUUGUUGGGGAUUCAUUUCCUUAGUAACGUAGCUAACGCGUGAAGUUGACCGCCUGGGGAGUACGGUCGCAAGAUUAAAACUCAAAUGAAUUGACGGGGUCAUAGCUGUUUCCU
This 586-nucleotide ribosomal RNA is filed under the name uncultured bacterium. RNAcentral's name for it is "partial 16S ribosomal RNA". It matches the Rfam family "Bacterial small subunit ribosomal RNA", at positions 355 to 1375 of the family's 1533-position model. The record is from RNAcentral.